Molecule: RNA transcript, 968 nt
Organism: Vigna angularis (adzuki bean)
Lineage: Eukaryota; Viridiplantae; Streptophyta; Magnoliopsida; Fabales; Fabaceae
Gene name: mitochondrial import inner membrane translocase subunit TIM23-2
Exons: 3
Source: RefSeq, a predicted model, not a curated record
UUAAACCCUACGUUCAUUAGACUUGACUCGUAUUUUCUUUCAUUCACAGACGGCGAUGGCGGAUUCUUCAAGCAACUCCAAGGAUAAGAACAACACGCGCCUCUACCAUCCCUACAAGGACCUCAACGUUCCAAUCCAAAAACUCUAUAACCUCCCCACCGCGCCGGAGCACCUCUUCUCGGAAGAAGCCGCCAGGACCCACCGAUCCUGGGGCGACAACCUCCAGUAUUACACCGGCACCGCCUACCUCUCCGGUGCAAUCAUCGGCGCCACCAGAGGCACCGUCCAGGGCCUCCGAGAGGCCGAGUCCGGCGACUCCCUCAAAAUCCGUCUCAACCGAGUGCUCAACUCAGGCGGCCACGCGGGUCGCAAACUCGGCAACUCGCUCGGCGUCCUGGGUCUCAUCUUCGCCGGCCUCGAGAGUGGGAUGAUCCACGCCAGGGGCACCGAUGACUUAGUCAACAGCGCCGUCGCCGGACUCGGCACCGGAGCGCUCUACAGGGCUGCGGCCGGACCUCGAUCAGCCGCCAUAGCCGGUGCCAUCGGAGGGAUCGCCGCGGCGGCGGCGGUUGGAGGAAAGCAGGCUUUGAAGAGAUACAUACCGAUCUAGCGAAGGAUUAGAAAUUGUGCUACUUGGUAAACAACCCAUGUGAUGAAAAUUGACUCAACAUGCAUGACCUGCUACUUUUUACAGAAUUUGUGUCUGAGCUGGCAUUGGCAUGGGUUUGAAGGAGUGUGAACAUUAGCUGCGCACAUGUGAAGGUUAACUUAUAGCAUAAUAUAUAAAAAAUAUAUGAAAUGGAAAAUGGUGGGGUUUUUGGUAAUUUCGAAAAGGCAGCAUCAUUAUACAGCUGUAGGCCACAUGGAAUUUUGUUCUGAGAGAAAGCUCUCCACUAACAUAUGAUCAGACGCCAGCUCAUUCGUGUUUUUUGGUACAUCUAUAUUACUCCACCAUUUAAACUUAAUCA